This 476-nucleotide ribosomal RNA is filed under the name uncultured bacterium. RNAcentral describes it as "bacterial SSU rRNA". It matches the Rfam family "Bacterial small subunit ribosomal RNA", at positions 28 to 500 of the family's 1533-position model. The record is from RNAcentral.
GAUGAACGCUGGCGGCGUGCCUAACACAUGCAAGUCGAACGAAGCUUGACGGAUGAUUUCUUCGGAAUGAAACCUGAUAUGACUUAGUGGCGGACGGGUGAGUAACACGUGAGCAACCUGCCUUUCAGAGGGGGAUAACGGCUGGAAACGGUCGCUAAUACCGCAUGAUGUGUUCGGAUGGCAUCAUCUGAACAUCAAAGAUUUAUCGCUGAAAGAUGGGCUCGCGUCUGAUUGGAUAGUUGGUGGGGUAACGGCCUACCAAGUCUACGAUCAGUAGCCGGACUGAGAGGUUGAACGGCCACAUUGGGACUGAGAUACGGCCCAGACUCCUACGGGAGGCAGCAGUGGGGAAUAUUGCACAAUGGGGGAAACCCUGAUGCAGCAACGCCGCGUGAAGGAUGACGGUUUUCGGAUUGUAAACUUCUUUUCUUAGUGACGAAGACAGUGACGGUAGCUAAGGAAUAAGCAUCGGCUAA